Molecule: unclassified non-coding RNA, 337 nt
Filed under: soil metagenome
Description: partial contains 5.8S ribosomal RNA, internal transcribed spacer 2, and large subunit ribosomal RNA
Rfam family: 5.8S ribosomal RNA (bases 1-120)
Source: RNAcentral
GAUGAAGAACGCAGCGAAAUGCGAUAAGUAGUGUGAAUUGCAGAAUUCAGUGAAUCAUCGAAUCUUUGAACGCACAUUGCGCCCCUUGGUAUUCCAUGGGGCAUGCCUGUUCGAGCGUCAUUUGUACCUUCAAGCUCUGCUUGGUGUUGGGUGUUUGUCUCGCCUCUGCGCGCAGACUCGCCUCAAAACAAUUGGCAGCCGGCGUAUUGAUUUCGGAGCGCAGUACAUCUCGCGCUUUGCACUCAUAACGACGACGUCCAAAAGUACAUUUUUACACUCUUGACCUCGGAUCAGGUAGGGAUACCCGCUGAACUUAAGCAUAUCAAUAAGCGGAGGA